Small nuclear RNA from Ochotona princeps (American pika), 107 nucleotides. NCBI's taxonomy places the organism in Eukaryota, Metazoa, Chordata, Mammalia, Lagomorpha, Ochotonidae. The record is from RefSeq and is a predicted model, not a curated record.
GUGCUUGCUUCUGCAGCACAUAUAGUAAAAUUGGAACAAUACAGAGAAGAUUAGCAUGGCCCGUGCACAAUAAUGACACACUAAGCAGUCAGUGAACAAUCAUACAG